This 367-nucleotide ribosomal RNA is filed under the name uncultured bacterium. RNAcentral describes it as "bacterial SSU rRNA". It matches the Rfam family "Bacterial small subunit ribosomal RNA", at positions 8 to 378 of the family's 1533-position model. The record is from RNAcentral.
AGAGUUUGAUCCUGGCUCAGGAUGAACGCUAGCGGGAGGCUUAACACAUGCAAGUCGAGGGGUAUGAUUAGCAAUAGUCAGAGACCGGCGCACGGGUGAGUAACGCGUAUGCAACCUGCCCUUUACAGGGGGAUAGCCCGUCGAAAGGCGGAUUAAUACCCCAUAAUAUUGUACUGCCGCAUGGUAGAACGAUAAAAGCUGAGGCGGUAAAGGAUGGGCAUGCGUGACAUUAGCUGGUUGGUAGGGUAACGGCCUACCAAGGCUACGAUGUCUAGGGGUUCUGAGAGGAAGGUCCCCCACACUGGUACUGAGACACGGACCAGACUCCUACGGGAGGCAGCAGUGAGGAAUAUUGGUCAAUGGGCGC